GUUAUUUUUUUAUUUCGAUAUUUCCUCUUUUUCUCCUAUUAGUUCAACAGAAAAAAAGGACAUUAACAAAAAUGUAUGCUUCUUCUAGAGGCAGAUUUUAGCUUAAAUGAACGUGACCCCAUUUUUUUAUUUAUUUUUCUUUUAAGUAUAUGAUAAAGUUCAUUUAUGAAAAAAUAUAGCGAAAUCCUAUAUUAGAAAAAAAAAUUCAUUUAUACCCAGGAGCCCC
This 226-nucleotide long non-coding RNA is filed under the name Mytilus galloprovincialis (Mediterranean mussel). The record is from RNAcentral. Lineage: Eukaryota; Metazoa; Mollusca; Bivalvia; Mytilida; Mytilidae.